Molecule: transfer RNA, 67 nt
Filed under: Pseudocuneopsis capitata
Lineage: Eukaryota; Metazoa; Mollusca; Bivalvia; Unionida; Unionidae
Description: Cuneopsis capitatus tRNA-His
Source: RNAcentral
UAGUGAGUAGUUUAAGAUAAAACAAUAGAUUGUGGUUCUAUAAAUAGGAUUUGUUAGCUCUCAUUAG